This 408-nucleotide ribosomal RNA is filed under the name uncultured bacterium. RNAcentral's name for it is "bacterial SSU rRNA". It matches the Rfam family "Bacterial small subunit ribosomal RNA", at positions 976 to 1381 of the family's 1533-position model. The record is from RNAcentral.
UAGCCUUGACAUUGAAGAAACACACUAGAGAUAGAGUGGUGCCCUUCGGGGAAUCUGAAAACAGGUGCUGCACGGCUGUCGUCAGCUCGUGUCGUGAGAUGUUGGGUUAAGUCCCGCAACGAGCGCAACCCUCGUCUUUAGUUGCCAGCAGGUUAAGCUGGGCACUCUAAAGAGACUGCCUUCGCAAGGAGGAGGAAGGUGAGGACGACGUCAAGUCAUCAUGGCCCUUAUGGCUAGGGCUACACACGUGCUACAAUGGGGCGUACAGAGUGUUGCGAUACCGCGAGGUGGAGCUAAUCACUUAAAGCGUCUCUCAGUUCGGAUUGGAGUCUGCAACUCGACUCCAUGAAGCUGGAAUCACUAGUAAUCGUAGAUCAGCAAUGCUACGGUGAAUACGUUCCCGGGUCU